Molecule: long non-coding RNA, 2247 nt
Organism: Carya illinoinensis
Lineage: Eukaryota; Viridiplantae; Streptophyta; Magnoliopsida; Fagales; Juglandaceae
Exons: 4
Source: RefSeq, a predicted model, not a curated record
UCUUCUCUCUCUCCUUCCAAGUUUAGCUCCAUAUUUUCCAGUGCAAUUAGUUAGCUUGAAGUUAGUCUGAAGUUUGCUGCUAGUGCAGCAUUGUUGCUGAGACUUUGGGUUAUGGCUGCAGUUAGCUUGAAGUUAUCAUUUUUUUUUGCAUUUAUGUUUGCCAUUUAUGCAAUUUGCAUUUUAGUUUGAGUUUUUUAAAACUUUGCAUAUUAGUGGUUAAAAAUGAAGUUUUCUGCCAGUGCAUAUUAGUUUGGGUAAAUUUCUUUAUGAUAAGUAAGAGGAUAUUUUAUUGAUAUAGUUUGGGAAAAUUGAAAUGUAACCAUAAAACCCAUUUCAUGGAUAUCUGAUUUUUUUUUUUUUUUUUUUUUUUGUGUUUGGUGCCAUAUUGGUCUAUGACAUAAUGGUUUGGCCCUUCGAGAUUUUCUUGCCUCUAAUGUGCCUACCUAGGUGGGGCAGUACUAGAGUUGUAUUUCAGGUUUUGCCAUUCUUUGAUCAAUAAAAUUGUUUAUUUAUCAAAAAAAAAAAAAAUUGAGAGUCUAAACCAUACUGGAAGACACCAUUUUGGCAUGAUUAUGGGAAAUAUAGAAUUGGCAAGAACUGUUUAAUGGGAAGACUGUUGGAUAGAUCUCUAUCUUUGAGGGACAGGAGAGGGACUUGAAACCGGAAUUCUAAUCGAAAUCAAAGUAGAGGAGAGUGAAAACUGUGUCAAUUUUUAUACACUAGCUUUGGUGCGUUGUAUAUAAAUUAUUAUUUAAACAAAAUGAAAAAACAAAGGCAAAAUAAAGCAUCCAUCAUUAUAUUGCGUGUGCUCAUCAGGCUGCAGUAGUGGCAUCCUCGCAUGUAAAAUAAAAAAUAUUAAAAAAAAAUUAUUUUAAUAGUUUAGCCAAACUUAUAAUCCUAUGUGGGAUGCAUAGCAAAUAGAUUAUGUAAAAUAGCCAAGAUGCCAUAUUUAGCUAAAAUUUAGCUAGAAUUUUACACAAGCCAAUGCGAGUGCUCUUUGUCAACACUCACACUUUCUGUAAAAUGUCUAAAUUGGGUAUUGGGUCAUGGUAAAGUCUCAAUAUUUAGAUGAAUAUGUGAUGCUUUUGUAUAUAUCCCGUGACCCUGUAUUUGGGCACUUGCCCAUUCCUAUUAUCAAUACAAUUUUUUUUUACUGAAUAUAUAUAUAUAUAUAUAUAGACAUCAAUUCUGGGCACCAGCAAUCUUCGCUUGAUGCUUGGUCUAUUUUAAUAUCGCGAAAAUACACAAGUAAUAUUAACUUGAAAUUGGGUUGGUACCAAUUCUGCAUAGAUUUCUGUAUCGCAAAACAUUAUUCCAUAUAUUUGUACCAUCAACUCAAAAUCUGACAAAAAAGAUUUAUUUUUUUUACUUAAAGGCAAACUGAAUAUGGCUACCGGUGGCCCAAAGAGCAUUCUGGCUAAGGCUGUGACGAGUGGAGUGAAUGAAGCAAGAGCAAGCCACAUACUUAACCCAACAGGCUAGAGAUCACCCCACAAGCUGUUACACAAGAAGCUCAUUGGUGACAAGAUUGCUGAAUGGUACCCACAUGAUAUCAAGGACGAUACUCUUAUCAUGGCUCGUCGAGAACAAGAGCGUUUAUCCAAGCUAUGUUGUGAUUUGUACAACAAUACCUCUGAAGCCGAACCUGAUAACAUUGGUCAUUGGUGAAACUGAGCCCCCAAUAUCUGAUGAAAUCUUCAAGUCAAGCCACAAAUUGGGUUGUUACAAACCUGGUCUGUUUACAAAAAUGUCCCAAAUUGUGAACCUUGCUGUCCCUUACAAAGAUCUCCUGUUGAGGGCUUCUACUUAGCUGGUGACUACACGAAGUAAAAGUAUCUAGCUUCAAUGGAAGGUGCUGUUCUGUCAGGAAAGCUUUGUGCUCAAGCUAUUUUACAGAAUAAUAGCCGUGUGGCAAUCAUAAUGGGAAAGCAAAGGGAACUUGCAAGGUAUGGAUGCAAAGGAGCUUUUGUGGGGCUGAUAAGAUUCAAGCUGAAGCAGUCUGAUUUCGUGAUUCCACAAUAGAUCACAUCGAACUGAAUAUUUUCAAAGUUGUCCAUUGGUGUUAGUAUUUUAAUUUUUGGGAACACUUGUAAUAUGAAAAAUGAAAUAGUUGCAUUUUCUUGGAGUUCCCGAGUGAUGGUAUGUAACCAUUGAUGGGAAUAUUUGGUAAUAUUAACUUGUCAAAAAAAAAAAAUGGUAAUAUUUUUCUUGUAGUGUAACUAAGGCCUCGAUUGUUUUAGAUGAGAU